GAUGAACGCUGGCGGCGUGCCUAAUACAUGCAAGUCGAGCGAACGGACGAGAAGCUUGCUUCUCUGAUGUUAGCGGCGGACGGGUGAGUAACACGUGGAUAACCUACCUAUAAGACUGGGAUAACUUCGGGAAACCGGAGCUAAUACCGGAUAAUAUUUUGAACCGCAUGGUUCAAAAGUGAAAGACGGUCUUGCUGUCACUUAUAGAUGGAUCCACGCUGCAUUAGCUAGUUGGUAAGUUCACGGCUUACCAAGGCAACGAUGCAUAGCCGACCUGCGAGGGUGAUCGGCCACACUGGAGCGUGGACACGGUCAAGACUCCUACGGGAGGCACCAGUAUGGAAUCUUCCGCAAUGGGCGAAAGCCUUGCGGAGCAGCGCCGCGUGAGUUAUGAAGGUCUUCGGAUCGUAAAACUCUGUUAUUAGGGAAGAACAUAUGUGUAAGUAACUGUGCACAUCUUGACGGUACCUAAUCAGAAAGCCACGGCUAACUACGUG
This 497-nucleotide ribosomal RNA is filed under the name uncultured bacterium. RNAcentral's name for it is "partial 16S ribosomal RNA". It matches the Rfam family "Bacterial small subunit ribosomal RNA", at positions 28 to 507 of the family's 1533-position model. The record is from RNAcentral.